This 80-nucleotide transfer RNA is filed under the name Parastagonospora nodorum. Its description in RNAcentral is "tRNA-Arg". Lineage: Eukaryota; Fungi; Ascomycota; Dothideomycetes; Pleosporales; Phaeosphaeriaceae. RNAcentral also lists the same sequence under 1 other name. The record is from RNAcentral.
GGUCGCUUGGUGCAGCGGUCAGAAACCUGGCAUUACUCUCUGCGGUGGAGGGCUCGUUGGUUCGAAUCCAACAGCGAUCA